This 369-nucleotide ribosomal RNA is filed under the name uncultured bacterium. Its description in RNAcentral is "bacterial SSU rRNA". It matches the Rfam family "Bacterial small subunit ribosomal RNA", at positions 525 to 896 of the family's 1533-position model. The record is from RNAcentral.
ACGGAGGGUGCAAGCGUUAUCCGGAUUUACUGGGUUUAAAGGGUGCGUAGGUGGGUCUGUAAGUCAGUGGUGAAAUCUCCGGGCUUAACCCGGAAAUUGCCAUUGAUACUAUAGGUCUUGAAUCAUCUGGAGGUAAGCGGAAUAUGUCAUGUAGCGGUGAAAUGCUUAGAUAUGACAUAGAACACCAAUUGCGAAGGCAGCUUACUGCGGAUGUAUUGACACUGAGGCACGAAAGCGUGGGGAUCAACCAGGAUUAGAUACCCUGGUAGUCCACGCCCUAAACUAUGGAUACUCGACAUCAGCGAUACACAGUUGGUGUCUGAGCGAAAGCAUUAAGUAUCCCACCUGGGAAGUACGACCGCAAGGUUG